Molecule: long non-coding RNA, 276 nt
Organism: Asparagus officinalis (garden asparagus)
Lineage: Eukaryota; Viridiplantae; Streptophyta; Magnoliopsida; Asparagales; Asparagaceae
Exons: 2
Source: RefSeq, a predicted model, not a curated record
UUGGAGUACCUACUUCUUCUAGGUGGAGAAUUAUGCGAGGGAUGUGAAUGCCAUGGAAGGCCUUACGCAAGUCAGUCAAGAAGCUCCCCAAGAUGGACCAGUUACAAAGUUGUUAUGCUUUGAAAAGCUGCAGUACUAGUACUCAAUUUCUGAAGAUGAUGAGCCUCCCAAGUCAUAUGUAAUGCAACGAAGUUAGUUUUUGUUGUUCUGUGUACUAUGGUUAAUUUCUUGUACUCCAUGUUGGAUUAUCCAAAGACUAGUAUUUGUUUUUUGGCA